CUACGGGUGGCUGCAGUCGAGAAUCUUCGGCAAUGGACGAAAGUCUGACCGAGCGACGCCGCGUGCGGGAUGAAGGCCUUCGGGUUGUAAACCGCUGUCAGUUGGGAGGAAAUCACAUGGGGUUCUCUCCAUGUGUUGACCUAUCUUCAGAGGAAGGACGGGCUAAGUUCGUGCCAGCAGCCGCGGUAAGACGAACCGUCCAAACGUUAUUCGGAAUCACUGGGCUUAAAGGGUGCGUAGGCGGCCUUGUAAGUUGGGUGUGAAAUCCCUCGGCUCAACCGAGGAAUUGCGCCCAAUACUGCAGGGCUAGAGGGAGACAGAGGUGAGCGGAACUUGUGGUGGAGCGGUGAGAUGCGUUGAUAUCACAAGGAACACCUGUGGCGAAAGCGGCUCACUGGGUCUCUUCUGACGCUGAGGCACGAAAGCUGGGGGAGCGAACGGGAUUAGAUACCCUUGUAGUC
Molecule: ribosomal RNA, 461 nt
Filed under: uncultured bacterium
Lineage: Bacteria
Description: partial 16S ribosomal RNA
Rfam family: Bacterial small subunit ribosomal RNA
Source: RNAcentral